RNAcentral lists this ribosomal RNA (685 nucleotides) under uncultured Glomeromycotina. RNAcentral's name for it is "SSU rRNA". It matches the Rfam family "Eukaryotic small subunit ribosomal RNA", at positions 427 to 1113 of the family's 1831-position model. The record is from RNAcentral. Lineage: Eukaryota; Fungi; Glomeromycota.
AGCAGGCGCGCAAAUUACCCAAUCCCGACACGGGGAGGUAGUGACAAUAAAUAACAAUACGGGGUUCUUUAGGAUCUCGUAAUUGGAAUGAGUACAAUUUAAAUCUCUUAACGAGGAACAAUUGGAGGGCAAGUCUGGUGCCAGCAGCCGCGGUAAUUCCAGCUCCAAUAGCGUAUAUUAAAGUUGUUGCAGUUAAAAAGCUCGUAGUUGAAUUUCGGGGUUAGUAGGUUGGUCAUGCCUCUGGUAUGUACUGGUCUCACUGAUUCCUCCUUCCUUAUGAACCGUAAUGCCAUUAAUUUGGUGUUGCGGGGAAUUUGGACUGUUACUUUGAAAAAAUUAGAGUGUUUAAAGCAAGCUAACGCUUGAAUACAUUAGCAUGGAAUAAUGAAAUAGGACGUUCGAUCUUAUUUUGUUGGUUUCUAGGAUUGACGUAAUGAUUAAUAGGGAUAGUUGGGGGCAUUAGUAUUCAAUUGUCAGAGGUGAAAUUCUUGGAUUUAUUGAAGACUAACUACUGCAAAAGCAUUUGCCAAGGAUGUUUUCAUUAAUCAAGAACGAAAGUUAGGGGAUCGAAGACGAUCAGAUACCGUCGUAGUCUUAACCAUAAACUAUGCCGACUAGGGAUCGGAUGAUGUUAAUUUUUUAAUGACUCAUUCGGCGCCUUACGGGAAACCAAAGUGUUUGGGUU